This 68-nucleotide transfer RNA is filed under the name Erinaceus europaeus (western European hedgehog). It matches the Rfam family "tRNA". Rfam says of the family: Transfer RNA (tRNA) molecules are approximately 80 nucleotides in length. Their secondary structure includes four short double-helical elements and three loops (D, anti-codon, and T loops). Lineage: Eukaryota; Metazoa; Chordata; Mammalia; Eulipotyphla; Erinaceidae. The record is from Rfam by way of RNAcentral.
GGGGAGGUAGCUUAGUGGGUAGAGCACAUGCAUGCGUGAGGCCUCAGGUUCGAUUCCUGGCCACUGUG